Molecule: ribosomal RNA, 431 nt
Filed under: uncultured bacterium
Lineage: Bacteria
Description: partial 16S ribosomal RNA
Rfam family: Bacterial small subunit ribosomal RNA
Source: RNAcentral
AACGAACGCUGGCGGCAGGCUUAACACAUGCAAGUCGAACGCCCCGCAAGGGGAGUGGCAGACGGGUGGGUAACGCGUGGGGACAUACCCAUUUCUACGGAAUAUCCCUGGGAAACUGGAAUUAAUACCGGAUACGCCCUACGGGGGCAAGGUUUAUCGGGGAAGGAUUGGCCCGCGUGGGAUUCGCUAGUUGGUGGGGUAAUGGCCUACCAAGGCGACGACCCAUAGCUGGUCGGAGAGGAUGAUCACCCACAUUGGGACGGGGACACGGCCCGAACUCCUACGGGAGGCAGCAGUGGGGAAUAUUGCACAAUGGGCGCAAGCCUGAUCCAGCCCUGCCGCGUGAGUGAUGAAGGCCUUAGGGUUGUAAAGCUCUUUCACCGAUGAAGAUAAUGACGGUAGUCGGAGAAGAAGCCCCGGCUAACUUCGUG